Molecule: ribosomal RNA, 303 nt
Filed under: uncultured bacterium
Lineage: Bacteria
Description: bacterial SSU rRNA
Rfam family: Bacterial small subunit ribosomal RNA
Source: RNAcentral
UGGGGAAUAUUGCACAAUGGGGGAAACCCUGAUGCAGCAACGCCGCGUGAGUGAGGAAGUAUUUCGGUAUGUAAAGCUCUAUCAGCAGGGAAUAGAAAAGAAGGUACCUGAAAAAGAAGCCCCGGCUAACUACGUGCCAGCAGCCGCGGUAAUACGUAGGGGGCAAGCGUUAUCCGGAUUUACUGGGUGUAAAGGGAGCGUAGACGGAAAGGCAAGUCAGAAGUGAAAACCCAAGGCUCAACCAUGGGACUGCUUUUGAAACUGUCAAACUAGAGUACGGGAGAGGUAAGAGGAAUUCCUAGU